CCCUUAGAUGUUCGGGGCCGCACGCGCGCUACACUGAAUGAAUCAGCGAGUGUAUGUCCUAGGCCGAAAGGUCCGGGUAACCCGUUGAAUCUCCUUCGUGAUAGGGAUUGGGGCUUGAAAUUGUUCCCCAUGAACGAGGAAUUCCCAGUAAGCGCGAGUCAUAAGCUCGCGUUGAUUACGUCCCUGCCCUUUGUACACACCGCCCGUCGCUACUACCGAUUGAACGGUUUAGUGAGGGCCUCGGAUUGGUCUCGGCCCGCUCUUUACCGGGCGGCGCCGUUGGUCGAGAAGACGCUCGAACUUGAUCGUUUAGAGGAAGUAAAAGUCGUAACA
This 333-nucleotide ribosomal RNA is filed under the name uncultured eukaryote. RNAcentral describes it as "partial 18S ribosomal RNA". It matches the Rfam family "Eukaryotic small subunit ribosomal RNA", at positions 1470 to 1796 of the family's 1831-position model. The record is from RNAcentral.